GACGAACGCUGGCGGCGUGCUUAACACAUGCAAGUCGAACGGAAAGGCCCUGCUUUUGUGGGGUGCUCGAGUGGCGAACGGGUGAGUAACACGUGAGUAACCUGCCCUUGACUGUGGGAUAACUUCAGGAAACUGGGGCUAAUACCGGAGAGGAGCUCCUGCUGCAUGGUGGGGGUUGGAAAGUUUCGGCGGUUGGGGAUGGACUCGCGGCUUAUCAGCUUGUUGGUGGGGUAGUGGCUUACCAAGGCUUUGACGGGUAGCCGGCCUGGGAGGGUGACCGGCCACAUUGGGACUGAGGUACGGCCCAGACUCCUACGGGAGGCAGCGGUGGAGAAUAUUACACAGUGGGCGGAAGCCUGAUGCGACAACGCCGCGUGCGGGAUGACGGCCUUCGGGUUGUGAACCGCUUUCGCCUGUGACGAAGCGUGAGUGACGGUAAUGGGUAAAGAAGCACCGGCUAACUACGUG
RNAcentral lists this ribosomal RNA (468 nucleotides) under uncultured bacterium. RNAcentral describes it as "partial 16S ribosomal RNA". It matches the Rfam family "Bacterial small subunit ribosomal RNA", at positions 28 to 507 of the family's 1533-position model. The record is from RNAcentral.